This 2904-nucleotide ribosomal RNA is filed under the name Enterobacter hormaechei. Its description in RNAcentral is "23S ribosomal RNA". It matches the Rfam family "Bacterial large subunit ribosomal RNA". The record is from RNAcentral. Lineage: Bacteria; Pseudomonadati; Pseudomonadota; Gammaproteobacteria; Enterobacterales; Enterobacteriaceae.
GGUUAAGCGACUAAGCGUACACGGUGGAUGCCCUGGCAGUCAGAGGCGAUGAAGGACGUGCUAAUCUGCGAAAAGCGACGGCGAGGUGAUAUGAACCUUUGACCCGUCGAUGUCCGAAUGGGGAAACCCAGUGUGUUCCGACACACUAUCGUUAACUGAAUACAUAGGUUAACGAGGCGAACCGGGGGAACUGAAACAUCUAAGUACCCCGAGGAAAAGAAAUCAACCGAGAUUCCCCCAGUAGCGGCGAGCGAACGGGGAGCAGCCCGGAGUCUGAAUCAGCUUGUGUGUUAGUGGAACGGUCUGGAAAGUCCGACGGUACAGGGUGAUAGUCCCGUACACGAAAAUGCACAUGCUGUGAACUCGAAGAGUAGGGCGGGACACGUGGUAUCCUGUCUGAAUAUGGGGGGACCAUCCUCCAAGGCUAAAUACUCCUGACUGACCGAUAGUGAACCAGUACCGUGAGGGAAAGGCGAAAAGAACCCCGGCGAGGGGAGUGAAAAAGAACCUGAAACCGUGUACGUACAAGCAGUGGGAGCCUCUUUAUGGGGUGACUGCGUACCUUUUGUAUAAUGGGUCAGCGACUUAUAUUCUGUAGCAAGGUUAACCGUAUAGGGGAGCCGAAGGGAAACCGAGUCUUAACUGGGCGUUAAGUUGCAGGGUAUAGACCCGAAACCCGGUGAUCUAGCCAUGGGCAGGUUGAAGGUUGGGUAACACUAACUGGAGGACCGAACCGACUAAUGUUGAAAAAUUAGCGGAUGACCUGUGGCUGGGGGUGAAAGGCCAAUCAAACCGGGAGAUAGCUGGUUCUCCCCGAAAGCUAUUUAGGUAGCGCCUCGUGAACUCAUCUUCGGGGGUAGAGCACUGUUUCGGCUAGGGGGCCAUCCCGGCUUACCAACCCGAUGCAAACUACGAAUACCGAAGAAUGUUAUCACGGGAGACACACGGCGGGUGCUAACGUCCGUCGUGAAGAGGGAAACAACCCAGACCGCCAGCUAAGGUCCCAAAGUCAUGGUUAAGUGGGAAACGAUGUGGGAAGGCACAGACAGCCAGGAUGUUGGCUUAGAAGCAGCCAUCAUUUAAAGAAAGCGUAAUAGCUCACUGGUCGAGUCGGCCUGCGCGGAAGAUGUAACGGGGCUAAACCAUGCACCGAAGCUGCGGCAGCGACACUAUGUGUUGUUGGGUAGGGGAGCGUUCUGUAAGCCGUUGAAGGUGUGCUGUGAGGCAUGCUGGAGGUAUCAGAAGUGCGAAUGCUGACAUAAGUAACGAUAAAGCGGGUGAAAAGCCCGCUCGCCGGAAGACCAAGGGUUCCUGUCCAACGUUAAUCGGGGCAGGGUGAGUCGACCCCUAAGGCGAGGCCGAAAGGCGUAGUCGAUGGGAAACAGGUUAAUAUUCCUGUACUUGGUGUUACUGCGAAGGGGGGACGGAGAAGGCUAUGUCAGCCGGGCGACGGUUGUCCCGGUUUAAGCAUGUAGGCGGAGGUUCCAGGUAAAUCCGGUACCUUUUAACGCUGAGGUGUGAUGACGAGGCACUACGGUGCUGAAGUGAUAAAUGCCCUGCUUCCAGGAAAAGCCUCUAAGCAUCAGGUAACACGAAAUCGUACCCCAAACCGACACAGGUGGUCAGGUAGAGAAUACCAAGGCGCUUGAGAGAACUCGGGUGAAGGAACUAGGCAAAAUGGUGCCGUAACUUCGGGAGAAGGCACGCUGAUAUGUAGGUGAAGCCCCUGCGGGCGGAGCUGAAAUCAGUCGAAGAUACCAGCUGGCUGCAACUGUUUAUUAAAAACACAGCACUGUGCAAACACGAAAGUGGACGUAUACGGUGUGACGCCUGCCCGGUGCCGGAAGGUUAAUUGAUGGGGUUAGCGGCAACGCGAAGCUCUUGAUCGAAGCCCCGGUAAACGGCGGCCGUAACUAUAACGGUCCUAAGGUAGCGAAAUUCCUUGUCGGGUAAGUUCCGACCUGCACGAAUGGCGUAAUGAUGGCCAGGCUGUCUCCACCCGAGACUCAGUGAAAUUGAACUCGCUGUGAAGAUGCAGUGUACCCGCGGCAAGACGGAAAGACCCCGUGAACCUUUACUAUAGCUUGACACUGAACACUGGUCCUUGAUGUGUAGGAUAGGUGGGAGGCUUUGAAGCGUGGACGCCAGUCUGCGUGGAGCCGCCCUUGAAAUACCACCCUUUAAUGGCUGGUGUUCUAACGUAGACCCGUGAUCCGGGUUGCGGACAGUGUCUGGUGGGUAGUUUGACUGGGGCGGUCUCCUCCCAAAGAGUAACGGAGGAGCACGAAGGUUGGCUAAUCCUGGUCGGACAUCAGGAGGUUAGUGCAAUGGCAUAAGCCAGCUUGACUGCGAGCGUGACGGCGCGAGCAGGUGCGAAAGCAGGUCAUAGUGAUCCGGUGGUUCUGAAUGGAAGGGCCAUCGCUCAACGGAUAAAAGGUACUCCGGGGAUAACAGGCUGAUACCGCCCAAGAGUUCAUAUCGACGGCGGUGUUUGGCACCUCGAUGUCGGCUCAUCACAUCCUGGGGCUGAAGUAGGUCCCAAGGGUAUGGCUGUUCGCCAUUUAAAGUGGUACGCGAGCUGGGUUUAGAACGUCGUGAGACAGUUCGGUCCCUAUCUGCCGUGGGCGCUGGAGAAUUGAGGGGGGCUGCUCCUAGUACGAGAGGACCGGAGUGGACGCAUCACUGGUGUUCGGGUUGUCAUGCCAAUGGCACUGCCCGGUAGCUAAAUGCGGAAGAGAUAAGUGCUGAAAGCAUCUAAGCACGAAACUUGCCCCGAGAUGAGUUCUCCCUGAGACUUUAAGUCUCCUGAAGGAACGUUGAAGACGACGACGUUGAUAGGUCGGGUGUGUAAGCGCAGCGAUGCGUUGAGCUAACCGAUACUAAUGAACCGUGAGGCUUAACCUU